Molecule: ribosomal RNA, 515 nt
Filed under: uncultured bacterium
Lineage: Bacteria
Description: partial 16S ribosomal RNA
Rfam family: Bacterial small subunit ribosomal RNA
Source: RNAcentral
GAUGAACGCUGGCGGCGUGCCUAAUACAUGCAAGUCGAGCGAAUGGAUUAAGAGCUUGCUCUUAUGAAGUUAGCGGCGGACGGGUGAGUAACACGCGGGUAACCUGCCCAUAAGACUGGGAUAACUCCGGGAAACCGGGGCUAAUACCGGAUAACAUUUUGAACCGCAUGGUUCGAAAUUGAAAGGCGGCUUCGGCUGUCACUUAUGGAUGGACCCGCGUCGCAUUAGCUAGUUGGUGAGGUAACGGCUCACCAAGGCAACGAUGCGUAGCCGACCUGCGAGGGUGAUCGGCCACACUGGGACUGAGACACGGCCCAGACUCCUACGGGAGGCAGCAGUAGGGAAUCUUCCGCAAUGGACGAAAGUCUGACGGAGCAACGCCGCGUGAGUGAUGAAGGCUUUCGGGUCGUAAAGCUCUGUUGUUAGGGAAGAACAGGUGCUAGUUGAAUAAGCUGGCACCUUGACGGUACCUAACCAGAAAGCCACGGCUAACUACGUGCCAGCCGCCGCAGUAA